UACAGAGACUGCGAGCGUUAUUCGGAUUCACUGGGCGUAAAGGGUGCGCAGGCGGCCGUGUGUGUGAGGCGUGAAAGCCCGGGGCUUAACCCCGGAAUUGCACCUCAAACUACACGGCUAGAGCAUUGGAGAGGGUAGCGGAAUUCACGGUGUAGCAGUGAAAUGCGUAGAUAUCUGGAGGAACACCGGUGGCGAAGGCGGCAUCCUGGACCAACACUGACACUGAGGAGCGAAAGCCAGGGGAGCAAACGGG
Molecule: ribosomal RNA, 253 nt
Filed under: uncultured bacterium
Lineage: Bacteria
Description: partial 16S ribosomal RNA
Rfam family: Bacterial small subunit ribosomal RNA
Source: RNAcentral